Molecule: ribosomal RNA, 497 nt
Filed under: uncultured bacterium
Lineage: Bacteria
Description: partial 16S ribosomal RNA
Rfam family: Bacterial small subunit ribosomal RNA
Source: RNAcentral
GAUGAACGCUGGCGGCGUGCCUAAUACAUGCAAGUCGAGCGAACAGACGAGGAGCUUGCUCCUCUGGCGUUAGCGGCGGACGGGUGAGUAACACGUGGAUAACCUACCUAUAAGACUGGGAUAACUUCGGGAAACCGGAGCUAAUACCGGAUAAUAUAUUGAACCGCAUGGUUUAAUAGUGAAAGACGGUUUUGCUGUCACUUAUAGAUGGAUCCGCGCCGCAUUAGCUAGUUGGUAAGGUAACGGCUUACCAAGGCAACGAUGCGUAGCCGACCUGAGAGGGUGAUCGGCCACACUGGAACUGAGACACGGUCCAGACUCCUACGGGAGGCAGCAGUAGGGAAUCUUCCGCAAUGGGCGAAAGCCUGACGGAGCAACGCCGCGUGAGUGAUGAAGGUCUUCGGAUCGUAAAACUCUGUUAUUAGGGAAGAACAAAUGUGUAAGUAACUAUGCACGUCUUGACGGUACCUAAUCAGAAAGCCACGGCUAACUACGUG